This 1374-nucleotide long non-coding RNA is filed under the name Gopherus agassizii (Agassiz's desert tortoise). RNAcentral's name for it is "lncRNA (ENSGAGG00000024440.1)". The record is from RNAcentral. Lineage: Eukaryota; Metazoa; Chordata; Testudines; Testudinidae.
CUGGGUGCUGGCCCUCUCCCAGUCACCGUAAUGUGUGAUAGUAUCUGUUCCCCUUUGGCAUUAAAGGUAACGGGAGGAAAUGCACCCUCUGCCCCGCAGUGGGCAGAACUGGGCUGUACAAACUGAACCUGGAUGGCCGUGCACUGCCCUAGCCCAGGUGGGGGAGAAGAGGGGGAAUUGAAAGAAUACCAAGAGUAUGUUGUGCAGACAUGGGUGUGAUAAAGGCAUCACAGCAAGGCCGCUUGUGUCUGACAAGGCCGUUCCUAUCUUGCAGAAGGCCAGGCCUGCACCCUGCCUGUGGAGAGCCUGUGGAGACAGCCAGAUGAAUAACAAAGGCAGGGAAGAGUCUCACCUGUGGAGGAGGUUGGGUGAGAGUGGAGCAGCUGGAGUGGCAGCACCAGGCGGCAGAGACUGGAGGCAGACCUGCUGCUGAAGGAUGAACCACGCACCUGCCAGGAGAACAUUCAGCAGCUGGAGGCCAAGAUGCAGGAGCAGGCCACCAGGAUUGGGAGCAAGGCAGUGGGAGCCGUGGAGGGGAAGCUGAGGGAAGCAAGAGAUGCUGGAGAAGGGCUGUAGAGGAAGAGCCGGCAGGACUGCAUAAGAGAGCUCCAAGCUGAGGGGGAGAUAACCAGACACCCCAAGAUCUGUCACGCAUCCUAAGGGCUUUGGCAUCAUUAGCAAAACUCUAAGGCAGAGGUUCCCAAACUGUGGUUCAUGACACAUCUCUGGGGGGUACACAGGAGAAAUUGUGAAAUGGGGGAUUUUAUUUAUUAACUAUUUUAUUUAUUGCAUUUUCAUAACAGGCUACUCAGACAAAGCUUAAAAAAUGUGGGAAUUCGUUAUAUAAAAUAUGAUAGUUAAUUUACUUCAAAAUUUAUCAAUGAGUACACAGAGACACAGACAUACAGAGCCCUCACCUCCAAUCACGAAACAGUGCGGGCUCAGUGGCCCAGCAACUGUCCAGAAUAAUUGAGCCCAGAACUUAGUCAAGGGGUUUUUUUUUGGUUGUAUACAUCACAUUUUAACUAACGAUAUCUGUACAUAACAGUGAAAUAUGGACAGAUGGCUUAAAACGGUUAGUGCGAAGAACAUACAUAUCAGUGAUGAGAAGGGUGGAGUACACAGGCAGCUGGUAUCUAAAAGGGUGUCAUAAGGAGGAGGGAGAAAACUUGUUCAUCUUAGCCUCUAAAGAUAGAACAAAAGGCAAUGGUCUUAAACUGCAGCAAGGGAGGUUUAGGUUAGGCAUUAGGAAAAAGUUCCUAAACUGUCAGGAGAGUUAAACACUGGAGUAAAGUGCCUAGCAAAGUUACAGAAACUCAUCUCUGAAGCUAUUUAACAGUACAUUAAAUAAAUGUCUAUCAGGUAUGGUCUACA